This 1018-nucleotide long non-coding RNA is filed under the name Androctonus crassicauda. Lineage: Eukaryota; Metazoa; Arthropoda; Arachnida; Scorpiones; Buthidae. The record is from RNAcentral.
AAAGAGGGCGACUUGGUGGUUUCGGGUAGCGAAGACAAGAAAGUGAUAGUUUGGCAUCCGAAAUAGUUAUAUAUAUAUAUAUAUAUAUAUAAAAGGAAGAAGAAGAAGCCGGUUUCAUUUAUGAUAUACAAGAAACGGAAAACUGCUAGAACGGUAACUGGAGACUCAAUAUUUACAGCAGGUAAUUAUUGCCUAAGGGGGUUGAUGCCUUCGGAUUACCGGAGGCGGCUGAAGAAGUAAAAACCAUCAGACAGUUGCAGUAACUCUGGCUGUUUCCAUGCAGCACUACAGAGACUGACUAGUCGUUUUUAAGCACGAUUGUUGAACUGGGAUAAUUGGCAGUUGGAGGUGGAGGGAGUUUCCACCCUCUCAUUGCACUUCAAUCGAUAAAGCUAGCUGGUACAACUCAACUUGCCCUACCAGCACGAACACACAACAAUGCUAUUUGACGAACUCCAGACACCCAUCGUGCCCCGUGCUUGAUAAAGCUAACUUGCAUGGGUUGUGGGAUUGGAUAGCUAAGCCUAAUUGUCGCCAUUUUCUUUAUGUCUCUCUCUUCUCUCUCCUCCUGCGAGCCUGCAUCAGCCGUUCUGGGAUCUGAUAGUUUUUUUCAUUACGUUUACUCUAGUGUGGAGACAUGUGAGGUAAUGAAAUUAGUACUCCGACCGUACACCAAGAGAAUUUCGGUCGAAUGGGAAAGGGUUCGAGAAAAGUGGGGAUAUAAAAAAAAAAAAAAAAGAUUAAUGAAAGAGAAGUUAUGACGGUAAGGCUUUUAAGUAAUGUUUAAAAGUUGUUUGUUUCUGAGGUUUAAAUGAAUUUUCUCGUGAUAUACUUAUACGUCUCGCUCUUCUCUCUCUUUCUGUUCGUGUUUACAAAUCGAUUUAGACUGUUAAUAAAAUCCAGAGAUUGAAUUUUUACUAAAUGCUGCUUUGUUUUUUUUUACACCAUCCUCAUUACGUAUAAGUAAAGGAUUGAACGGCGGUCGAGUUAAGUACACGCGAAAAAACAGGGAGGGAAG